RNAcentral lists this transfer RNA (88 nucleotides) under Acidobacteriota bacterium. RNAcentral's name for it is "Acidobacteria bacterium (soil metagenome) tRNA-Ser". It matches the Rfam family "tRNA". Rfam says of the family: Transfer RNA (tRNA) molecules are approximately 80 nucleotides in length. Their secondary structure includes four short double-helical elements and three loops (D, anti-codon, and T loops). Lineage: Bacteria; Pseudomonadati; Acidobacteriota. The record is from RNAcentral.
GGAGGGUUAACCCUAACUGGUAAGGGCGCAGUCUUGAAAAUUGCCGCGCAUAAUGCGCUUGAGAGUUCGAGUCCCUCACCCUCCGCCA